CCUUGACAUUUAGAAUCAGUAUAUGAUUACCUUUCAUUUUUUGUGAAUUUCAGCUUGUGACACCAAAACCCCCACAGAAGUCAUUUCUAGACGACUUUCUGUGCAAGGAGCGCUCUACUAUAUGCCAUAUUGAAUUUCAUGCAAUUCGGUUCAUAACUAACCCAAUCUACACGUCCGUUCCUUGUACAUAGCUGGUAUGACAGAUUAGUUACGUUUACAUACCUGUUACAUUUCACUGAAGGCUCUAAAGUAUAUUUAUUUGUUACUUUAAUAGUACGUAGCCGGUAUGUUUUCUCUAACAAACAUGCAGUAGAUUUUUAAGGGCACAUAAUUUAACAAGUUCAGUAUGUAACAAGUCCGUUUAUUGUGAAAUGUACUCCUUACGUGAUGAAUUUGAGUACCAUACAAGAAACAUUUCAAUUUAAAAUUGACAAUUAAUAGUUUGGUUAUAGUAUAUGCGAUCCUGGGUGACGUAUAUUUCUUUGUUCUUCGCGUUGGUGAAUGCUUUGGAAUAAUUAGCGCCACUCAGGCCCUUGUAUUGUAGACAAAUUGGCAUAUCUUUGAUUUUAACAUUUGUAAAAAUGCCAAAAAAGUUGUUUUGCGAAGUCUCGAGUAGGCAAAAACGCAGAAGAAUUCUGAAAGAACUUACAACCAGUUCGAUUGUACCCGAAUGUAAUUGUGUAAAUGCUAUUAGUGCUGAUACAUAUGCUGAUUGUUUGUCAUUACCACUUAGUUCGAAUCGCAGCACUUCGGGAGAAUUUGAAAACACUAAUUCUUUACUUACCUCCGUGCAUAGUACAAUAACUUGUGAUAGCAGUGAAAUUAGUGACACUACUAGUAUCCGUGUUUGUGAAACCAACUGUGAACUGAUAACGGAGAACCAUAAUGAAUCCUUUAGUCUUUCAGAGUUCAAGAAUAAAUUGCGUUCUUGGGCAAGUUUUCAUAGUGUUUCUCACAUGUCAAUUAGUAAUCUUUUAAGCAUUUUAAGAACAGUAAACGUUUUAAGUGGACUUCCACAAGACGCACGAACACUUAUGCAAACACCCCGAAAUGCAACGGAAAAUAUAAUUGCUUUGGGUGGCGGUGAAUUUGUGCAUAUGGGAUUUGUUAAAAGCUUACAAUCUUCAUUACAAAAACAUUACACCUGUCUACCAACAACAGUGAAAGUAAAUUUAAACAUUGAUGGACUACCACUAACAAAAAGCUCGUCUAGUCAAUUUUGGCCAAUUCUCGGUUCGAUAGUGGACUCAUUUUAUACAAAGCCAUUUGUAAUUAGUGUAUAUCAUGGUUUUCACAAGCCUUUAUCAAGCAAAGACUUCCUUUCUUAUUUUGUACAAGAAGCAAGAGAUAUUUUAGAAAAUGGGAUCAACUACAAUGGAAGUAUCAUUAAUGUGCAGUUAAAUGCAAUCAUAUGUGAUGCACCUGCCAGGUCCUAUAUUAGUGGUGUAAAAGGACAUAACGGGUACUUUGGUUGUUCAAAAUGUAUCCAAGAAGGGGAUUAUGUUGACAAUCGUAUGACAUUCCCGGAAAUAUCUUCGGUUUUAAGGACUGAUGAAUCCUUUAGAAAUAAACUUCAUGUUGAACAUCAUAAAGAUUCAAAGGAAGCAAAUAUUUUAGAAUGUCUGAAUAUAGGAAUGGUAACACAAUUCCCUAUUGAUUACAUGCACGCUGUUUGUAUUGGAGUCACAAAAAAGUUAAUUUACUUUUGGAUAAAUGGGAAAAAAGAUGUGCGUUUGAAGCCUAAUGAUAUUCAAAAUGUGACUAAUCAUCUAAGUCUAUUGAAACCGAGCAUCACUGGUGAAUUUAGUAGAAAACCUCGCAGUAUUACAGAAUAUGAACGGUGGAAAGCUACUGAAUUACGCACUUUCUUACUGUAUACGGGUCCAGUUGUAUUACGAGAAGUUCUUCCGGGCGAUUAUUACGACCAUUUUUUAUCAUUAAGUGUGGCAAUUAGAAUCUUAUGUGAUAAAAAUUUGUACAUAGUUUUAAAUAAUUAUGCGCACACGAUCCUAGAAUGGUUUGUAAAAAAAUAUUUUAUUUUGUAUGGUGAGCAACGUAUAGUUUACAAUGUACAUAGUUUAUUACAUCUAGCAAAUGACAGUAAAUUGUUUGGCCCAUUAGAUGAAUAUAGUGCUUUUAAAUUUGAAAAUUUUAUGCAAAUUAUUAAGAAGAAAGUGAAGAAUUCUAGUCGUCCGUUACAACAGUUGUUUAAUCGAUUAAUGGAAGAAGAAAGUUUACAAGGAAAGUCAAAUUGUACAUCUGAAGCAAACAAAAUGACUUCCAAACUGUCAUUUGAGGGUUUCACAAUUUCCCAAAAACCACACGAUAACUGCUUUGAACAUGAAAAUGGAGAUGUAAUGGAAGUUGUGAACAUUUCAAUGAAAGAUUGCAUGAUUAAUGCUCAAAAAUACCAGAAAGUAGAGCCGCUCUUUACUGCACCAUGUAAUUCUGUGAAAUUAGGAAUAUGUAUUGUAAAACAAUCCGAUUUAAGGCAGGAUAUUGACACAAUUGACAAAAAAUGUGUAAAGAGAAAGUGUUUGAAGUUACCUUUAUAUUUAAAUAGUUCCGGCAGUGUGAAUGAGCAUGCUAUUUUUCCGUUAAUUCAUAGUGACGGUCAGAAAGAGUAAAAGAAAUUAAUUAGAUAUGGGUUUAAAAGUGUUAUACUUAUGUGGUGAAUGUGUACAUUAGAUCAAUAUAUUUUGCCUAUACAUACUUUUUAUUUAAAUUUCAACAAAUAACUUUAAUCGCUUUUACUUUUGUAAUCUCAUUUAUAUUUAUAUAUAGUUGUGCACAAUGGAAAAAAGACACCAGUUCCAAACAGUAUGCUGUAGUUCGCUUCGACGACGAGUCCGUAUCGGAGGUCCCUAUUACAUGGCUCUUCGACAAUAAUCGCAGUAGUUGGUGGCCGCGCAAUUCAAAGGUUGCGACCAGCUACAUUAAUCGUUAUUCACCCCCAGACCCAGAUAGUUGGAGUAAAUACAGUGUGGUAGCCGUUGAAGCAAUUUGUGAUUCUCUAGAAGUAGCAAGGAAGAAAGCUGAAGAUAUUCACUACAGUGAAGGUGAAGAUAAAGAUCGGGGACGUGGAAAACGAUUGGUACAACGGAGCACAUUACUAAGCAAUUUCAUCGAUGGCUCUAAUAAUGGAUCUAGCGAUAGUGAUGUUGAAGCUAGAACGAAACGAAUACUUACCCCACCUCCUGAGCUGCCACCGGAUCUUGACAUAUCCUCAAUGGAAAUGGUUAUUUUAAACAAAAAUACAAAUAUUGAUACAAUGAAUGAACAAUGUAAGUAUAUCCUCAUACAUAAUACAUACAUUUACUUCGCCAUCAAUGGUAGUUCCACACGGAGAAUAUGCAGAAGAUGAGUAUGUCGAGGAGUAUGCGGAAUCUUAUGCCGAGUCCCAAGAAGUACCAGUAAACCAAUUUAAUUCCCAAUCCAUUAAUCGUAAUGGAAAUUAUGAAAUCAGUGUGAUGCACAAAAUAUUAGAAAUGGUAACAGAAAUAAAAAUUCAAGUCAACGAUAUUGCCAGAAAUAUGCAGAGUUUCAAAGUAGACAAGCAGCCCGUUGAACAAUACGACAUAUUUACCAAAUGCCUGCCCUUAAAUAGUUUUGAAGCGAUUGAGAAGUUUGAGGAAUUAAUAAGCGACCUUGAAAUCAACAAAUUAUUUAAAACAUUUUUAACUACAAUUGGUGGAAAUGAUUACAAAGAUAAUAUAAACCGAGUUUAUAAAAUACUGUUUACAAAUGAAUUGGGAAUGGGUUGUUCCUGGUUGGGCCAGCGAAAUAACAAGCGUAUGGUAGACUUAAAAAUUAUUGCUGCUGUUAAAG
Photinus pyralis (common eastern firefly) is the source of this 3828-nucleotide RNA transcript. RefSeq lists it as uncharacterized. The record is from RefSeq and is a predicted model, not a curated record. NCBI's taxonomy places the organism in Eukaryota, Metazoa, Arthropoda, Insecta, Coleoptera, Lampyridae. The transcript has 5 exons.